This is a long non-coding RNA of Mercenaria mercenaria, 661 nucleotides long. RefSeq lists it as uncharacterized. Lineage: Eukaryota; Metazoa; Mollusca; Bivalvia; Venerida; Veneridae. The record is from RefSeq and is a predicted model, not a curated record. The transcript is spliced from 2 exons.
UAUGUGAUGGUAUGGCGUGUCCGCAAGUUCUAAGAUGUCCCAAUCAGUAUACACCCCCUGGUCAGUGUUGCCCAGUAUGCGGACCAAUAGGGAAGCCAGACUGCAUUAAGAUAGCUUGUACACUACGGCACUGUGUUGGCCAGUAUACUCCACCUGUACAGUGUUGUCCAAUAUGUCCACGUAACACAUACUGAUGAAACAUUUUAAGAAAAUGCACAAGCUUUCUUUCUGUUCUUAACGUCAAUCAAACGCCAAAUCUGUUUACGAGUGUAAUGAAUUAGACUUGUUGUUGUUAAUUUGAUUGUUGUUUUUUUCUGAUCAGAAACAACACUGUCAGUACGACAGUAGUGAAUCGUUGCUCCUUUUCACUUGAUGUUGGAACUGUGAUAAUAUAUCAAGAAUGCGUCAAAUACAACUUUAUUUCAUUUUUAUUUAUUUCUCUCAGGACAAAGUACAUGACAACAUAUUUACCUGUUUUUCAUUGUCGUGUGACAUGUAAAGUGUACGAGUGUAUAUGUUAUAGAGAUAUUGAACCAUAAUAUACUUAAGUUCACCUUUCUCCAUUUAUAUUUUUGUACAUUUAUAUGAAUUGCAAUGCAUAAAUUUGUAAAGGUUUAAAAAUGUAUAAUUCAGCUAAAUGGUUAAUAAAACUUGAAUCAUG